AUACGUAGGGGGCAAGCGUUAUCCGGAUUUACUGGGUGUAAAGGGAGCGUAGACGGAAGGCCAAGUCUGAUGUGAAAGCCCGCGGCUCAACUGCGGGACUGCAUUGGAAACUGGUCAUCUGGAGUGCAGGAGGGGUAAGCGGAAUUCCUAGUGUAGCGGUGAAAUGCGUAGAUAUUAGGAGGAACACCGGUGGCGAAGGCGGCUUACUGGACUGUAACUGACGUUGAGGCUCGAAAGCGUGGGGAGCAAACAGGAUUAGAUCCCCUGGUAGUCCACGCCGUAAACGAUGAUUACUAGGUGUAGGGGGUAUCGACUCCCUCUGUGCCGCAGUUAACGCAUUAAGUAAUCCACCUGGGGAGUACGGCCGCAAGGUUAAAACUCAAAUGAAUUGACGGGG
RNAcentral lists this ribosomal RNA (397 nucleotides) under uncultured bacterium. RNAcentral describes it as "partial 16S ribosomal RNA". It matches the Rfam family "Bacterial small subunit ribosomal RNA", at positions 523 to 918 of the family's 1533-position model. The record is from RNAcentral.